RNAcentral lists this ribosomal RNA (253 nucleotides) under uncultured bacterium. Its description in RNAcentral is "partial 16S ribosomal RNA". It matches the Rfam family "Bacterial small subunit ribosomal RNA", at positions 524 to 776 of the family's 1533-position model. The record is from RNAcentral.
UACAGAGGGUGCGAGCGUUAUCCGGAAUUAUUGGGCGUAAAGCGUCCGCAGGUGGCAAUUCAAGUCUGCUGUCAAAGGUUCUGGCUCAACCAGGAACAGGCAGUGGAAACUGAAUAGCUAGAGUGCGGUAGGGGCAGAGGGAAUUCCCAGUGUAGCGGUGAAAUGCGUAGAGAUUGGGAAGAACACCGGUGGCGAAAGCGCUCUGCUAGGCCAAAACUGACACUGAGGGACGAAAGCUAGGGGAGCGAAUGGG